Molecule: small RNA, 1089 nt
Filed under: Vigna angularis var. angularis
Lineage: Eukaryota; Viridiplantae; Streptophyta; Magnoliopsida; Fabales; Fabaceae
Description: Non-protein coding transcript
Source: RNAcentral
GAAACUACAAAAAUAAUUCCAGAAAAAAACUAAAAUACAAAAAACCAAUUCAUCUACCAAAAGAAAUUGAAAAAUAGCAAAUGCUUUAAAACAACCCCUUGGCCGUGACGUACCUUGGUGUGCAUGCAAAGAGAAUUAAAAUAAGUUAAAUGCUUCUCCUUGUUAUCUUGGCCGUGAGAAUUUCAUGAGGUACAUCCAAAAAGCAAUUUAAAUGGUAAUGCUUCUUCUUGAUUUCUCCCUUUCACCAUGCACUUCCAACAUCUAUUAUAUUUUAAUCACCAUAUACUCCACUCAUUUCUCAAAGAUAAUUCAAAGCCAUUAAUUGAAAGCUAUUUACGUAUUCUACCACUCCAUCUAGUCAUGACCACUCAUGAAGAAAUACAAUCAUAGGCCAUGAGCCACUUCUUGUUCACGUGAAAGAGAACUCUUCACACGGCUCCACCAAUUAUUUCUUACUUUCCAUUUAAAAUCAAUCACUUCUUCUCUUAAUAAUAACAAAAGGAAUCUUAUUCUAAGAAACCAAAAUAGGUGCUGCAUGAAUGAUUCACGUUUCUCUUCAUUUUAAAUGAAACCAAACAAAGUGAAAAGGGUGGAAGGGGCUCUGCCUCUUGGUCUUAUGUCUUCUUCCAGCAGUGAUUCAAGAAUCAAAUACAGUUUUGCUUCCCUCCUCUAGCUCUUUGGACGUAUAUUCUCACACCAGCACCUUCUUCUCCUUCAUCAAGUCAUCAUCCCUUCAAUACACUUGCUAUCCUCCACGGGAAAAGAAGAAAAGAUUCCCCCAAAUUGCCGAGAGGAAGGAGUUUUUAAGAGAGACCUCCAAAUCCUUGUGUGUUGUCUCCUUCUGACCAUAAGCUUUAGGCUUGUCUCCUCCCCUAGCAUCUAGCUUCCUCAUUUUUCUUCAAUCAAUCCCCUGUGCUUGGACGUAGCUAUGCCAAUUGGUGUUUCAUGACAAAAAAUGAUGCCUAUAAUUUCCACGUGCAAUAAGCCAGCUGUUGUAAAACUUCAUUCUGAACACAUGUGGCAUACCAUGUCUGUUCUCAAUGUGUGUUGAAUUUCUCAUUGACCAAGGUGGUAUGUGUAUGUCCGUGA